GCUUGUCUGCGAGCUGGUGCUCUUAUGGCUGUGCUUUCAUAUCUGGAUUUCUUCUCCACUGGAGUCCAGCGGGUGGCUUUAGCUACUGCUGCAAAUAUGUGCAAGAAACUCUCAUCAGAUGCUGCUGAUUUUGUGAUGGAAGCCGUUCCUCUGUUGACAAAUCUUCUUCACUAUCAUGAUGCAAAGGUAUUGGAGCAUGCUUCUGUUUGUUUAACCCGGAUUGCUGAAGCAUUUGCUUCAUCUCCAGACAAAUUGGAUGAACUAUGUAA
Molecule: unclassified non-coding RNA, 269 nt
Filed under: Hevea brasiliensis (rubber tree)
Lineage: Eukaryota; Viridiplantae; Streptophyta; Magnoliopsida; Malpighiales; Euphorbiaceae
Source: RNAcentral